CGGGGCGUAGCGCAGCCUGGUAGCGCACGUGCAUGGGGUGCACGGGGUCGGAGGUUCAAAUCCUCUCGCCCCGACCA
RNAcentral lists this transfer RNA (77 nucleotides) under Desulfuromonas sp. RNAcentral's name for it is "tRNA-Pro". It matches the Rfam family "tRNA". From Rfam's summary of the family: Transfer RNA (tRNA) molecules are approximately 80 nucleotides in length. Their secondary structure includes four short double-helical elements and three loops (D, anti-codon, and T loops). The record is from RNAcentral. RNAcentral also lists the same sequence under 19 other names. Lineage: Bacteria; Pseudomonadati; Thermodesulfobacteriota; Desulfuromonadia; Desulfuromonadales; Desulfuromonadaceae.